UACGUAGGGCGCAAGCGUUGUCCGGAAUUAUUGGGCGUAAAGCGCUCGCAGGUGGUUCGUCGCGUCGUGCGUGAAAGACCCCGGCUCAACUGGGGAGGGUCGUGCGAUACGGGCGGACUGGAGGCCAGUAGGGGGGAUGCGGAAUUCCGGGUGUAGUGGUGGAAUGCGCAGAGUAUCAGGAGGAACACCGGUGGCGAAGGCGGCCUUCUGGACAGUGACUGACGCUGAGACGCGAAAGCGUGGGGAGCAAACAGG
RNAcentral lists this ribosomal RNA (255 nucleotides) under uncultured bacterium. RNAcentral describes it as "partial 16S ribosomal RNA". It matches the Rfam family "Bacterial small subunit ribosomal RNA", at positions 524 to 776 of the family's 1533-position model. The record is from RNAcentral.